CCGUGUUCUUAAUGUCACGUGUAACGCUACGGGAUCAUGGAGUGAAGUACUUCCUACAUGUAUAAAUACAGGCGCAAUUGUCACGGUUGGAAACGUAUCAACCCCCUCACCGACAGAACCUGAUGCAGGCUCAAGUACCACAGUCAUGACCGUACAAAGAAAAAAACGCGAAACUUUGCCCUUGGACAAUCAAUAUGUUCUAACAGUCAUAGAAACGGUAAGAUACUUAGUUGCAAUUAUCUAAGAAGUUCAUGUCCGGGACAUCCCAGUAGACCGACAGCCCAUGAGACCGACAGCACACGAGACCGACAUAACACGAGACUUACAGCCCACGAGACUUACAGCCCACGAGACCUACACCACCCGAGAC
This is a long non-coding RNA of Strongylocentrotus purpuratus (purple sea urchin), 370 nucleotides long. RefSeq lists it as uncharacterized. Lineage: Eukaryota; Metazoa; Echinodermata; Echinoidea; Camarodonta; Strongylocentrotidae. The record is from RefSeq and is a predicted model, not a curated record. The transcript has 3 exons.